AGGCGGUAUAGCCAAGUGGUAAGGCAGAGGAUUGCAAAUUCUUUAUCCCCCAGUUCAAAUCUGGGUGCCGCCUA
This 74-nucleotide transfer RNA is filed under the name Rhodogorgon sp. RNAcentral describes it as "tRNA-Cys". It matches the Rfam family "tRNA". Rfam says of the family: Transfer RNA (tRNA) molecules are approximately 80 nucleotides in length. Their secondary structure includes four short double-helical elements and three loops (D, anti-codon, and T loops). Further hydrogen bonds mediate the characteristic L-shaped molecular structure. tRNAs have two regions of fundamental functional importance: the anti-codon, which is responsible for specific mRNA codon recognition, and the 3' end, to which the tRNAs corresponding amino acid is attached (by aminoacyl-tRNA synthetases). tRNAs cope with the degeneracy of the genetic code in two manners: having more than one tRNA (with a specific anti-codon) for a particular amino acid; and 'wobble' base-pairing, i.e. permitting non-standard base-pairing at the 3rd anti-codon position. The record is from RNAcentral. Lineage: Eukaryota; Rhodophyta; Florideophyceae; Rhodogorgonales; Rhodogorgonaceae.